AACGUAGGACGCAAGCGUUAUCCGGAGUUACUGGGCGUAAAGCGCGGGCAGGCGGCCUGAUGCGUCUGAUGUGAAAUCUCCUCGCUCAACGGGGAGAGGCCAUUGGAAACGGUCGGGCUGGAGGGCAGUAGAGGUAGGCGGAAUUCCGGGUGGAGUGGUGAAAUGCGUAGAGAUCCGGAGGAACACCAGAGGCGAAGGCGGCCUACUGGGCUGCACCUGACGCUGAGCCGCGAAAGCCAGGGGAGCGAACGGG
This 253-nucleotide ribosomal RNA is filed under the name uncultured bacterium. Its description in RNAcentral is "partial 16S ribosomal RNA". It matches the Rfam family "Bacterial small subunit ribosomal RNA", at positions 524 to 776 of the family's 1533-position model. The record is from RNAcentral.